GACGAACGCUGGCGGCGUGCCUAAUACAUGCAAGUUGAGCGCUGAAGGUUGGUACUUGUACCAACUGGAUGAGCAGCGAACGGGUGAGUAACGCGUGGGGAAUCUGCCUUUGAGCGGGGGACAACAUUUGGAAACGAAUGCUAAUACCGCAUAAAAACUUUAAACACAAGUUUUAAGUUUGAAAGAUGCAAUUGCAUCACUCAAAGAUGAUCCCGCGUUGUAUUAGCUAGUUGGUGAGGUAAAGGCUCACCAAGGCGAUGAUACAUAGCCGACCUGAGAGGGUGAUCGGCCACAUUGGGACUGGGACACGGCCCAAACUCCUACGGGAGGCAGCAGUAGGGAAUCUUCGGCGAUGGACGAAAGUCUGACCGAGCAACGCCGCGUGAGUGAAGAAGGUUGUCGGAUCGUAAAACUCUGUUGGUAGAGAAGAACGUUGGUGAGAGUGGAAAGCUCAUCAAGUGACGGUAACUACCCAGAAAGGGACGGCUAACUACGUG
This 497-nucleotide ribosomal RNA is filed under the name uncultured bacterium. Its description in RNAcentral is "partial 16S ribosomal RNA". It matches the Rfam family "Bacterial small subunit ribosomal RNA", at positions 28 to 507 of the family's 1533-position model. The record is from RNAcentral.